GGUCUUGUGGUCUAGUGGUAUGAUUCUCGCUUAGGGUACUUCCUGAGCACACUUGCGAGAGGCCCCGCGUUCGAGUCGCGGCAAGACCC
Non-coding RNA from Dothidotthia symphoricarpi CBS 119687, 89 nucleotides. Lineage: Eukaryota; Fungi; Ascomycota; Dothideomycetes; Pleosporales; Dothidotthiaceae. The record is from the annotation of a RefSeq genome assembly.